This is a long non-coding RNA of Pomacea canaliculata, 467 nucleotides long. RefSeq lists it as uncharacterized. The record is from RefSeq and is a predicted model, not a curated record. NCBI's taxonomy places the organism in Eukaryota, Metazoa, Mollusca, Gastropoda, Architaenioglossa, Ampullariidae. The transcript is spliced from 3 exons.
GGGGAAUGGUUUCAUGAGUGGGGUCAUCGGGUGAAGUGGACAAAGUUUCAGAAGUGGGGUCAUGGAGUGAAGUGGACAAACAAUGUCAGAUGUAUUCUGCAGUCACAAGGUGCAGGAGGACGGGAGGGUUACUCAGGAUGACGUGAGCGCCGAAUUUGGGAAGCAACAAGUGACUGACCAAUGGAGAGUACAGAAACACAGUGAAGGGGGAGGGAAUGCUUGUUUAACCUUUCUUUGCUCUUUAAAAGGCAGGCGAGAAAUGUUGCUGUCCUUUUGCCCUGACAGUUAAAUCAGUUGAUGGGUGCAGUGACAUUCAGAGGGAUGUAUAAUUGCCAUUAUCCUCCUCAAUUAAGUUGUGCAAACGAGGCUGUGAUGGAAGGAGUGUGUGGUCCCGCUGAGAGGAAUUUCUCAGGUUCCUUCCCCGUCGUCUUCCAACAGUUACUCCCUUCACCUGUUCGCUGAGGAGG